RNAcentral lists this unclassified non-coding RNA (27 nucleotides) under Mus musculus (house mouse). RNAcentral's name for it is "oocyte_clustered_small_RNA7578". The record is from RNAcentral. Lineage: Eukaryota; Metazoa; Chordata; Mammalia; Rodentia; Muridae.
UAUUCAAUAUUAUAAUGUCUACUCCAG